AAAUUGAAGAGUUUGAUCAUGGCUCAGAUUGAACGCUGGCGGCAGGCCUAACACAUGCAAGUCGAACGGUAACAGGAAGCAGCUUGCUGCUUUGCUGACGAGUGGCGGACGGGUGAGUAAUGUCUGGGAAACUGCCUGAUGGAGGGGGAUAACUACUGGAAACGGUGGCUAAUACCGCAUAACGUCGCAAGACCAAAGAGGGGGAC
This 206-nucleotide ribosomal RNA is filed under the name Salmonella enterica subsp. enterica serovar Infantis. RNAcentral's name for it is "partial 16S ribosomal RNA". It matches the Rfam family "Bacterial small subunit ribosomal RNA", at positions 1 to 214 of the family's 1533-position model. RNAcentral also lists the same sequence under 13 other names. The record is from RNAcentral. Lineage: Bacteria; Pseudomonadati; Pseudomonadota; Gammaproteobacteria; Enterobacterales; Enterobacteriaceae.